AUUGAACGCUGGCGGCAUGCUUUACACAUGCAAGUCGAACGGUAACAGGCCGCAAGGUGCUGACGAGUGGCGAACGGGUGAGUAAUGCAUCGGAACGUGCCCAGUCGUGGGGGAUAACUACUCGAAAGAGUAGCUAAUACCGCAUACGAUCUAUGGAUGAAAGCGGGGGACCGUAAGGCCUCGCGCGAUUGGAGCGGCCGAUGUCAGAUUAGGUAGUUGGUGGGGUAAGGCUCACCAAGCCAACGAUCUGUAGCUGGUCUGAGAGGACAACCAGCCACACUGGGACUGAGACACGGCCCAGACUCCUACGGGAGGCAGCAGUGGGGAAUUUUGGACAAUGGGCGCAAGCCUGAUCCAGCAAUGCCGCGUGCAGGAAGAAGGCCUUCGGGUUGUAAACUGCUUUUGUACGGAACGAAACGGCUCUGGUUAAUACCCGGGGCUAAUGACGGUACCGUAAGAAUAAGCACCGGCUAACUACGUG
Molecule: ribosomal RNA, 481 nt
Filed under: uncultured bacterium
Lineage: Bacteria
Description: partial 16S ribosomal RNA
Rfam family: Bacterial small subunit ribosomal RNA
Source: RNAcentral